AUUGAACGCUGGCGGCAUGCCUUACACAUGCAAGUCGAACGGUAACAGGUUAAGCUGACGAGUGGCGAACGGGUGAGUAAUGUAUCGGAACGUGCCCAGUCGUGGGGGAUAACUGCUCGAAAGAGCAGCUAAUACCGCAUACGACCUGAGGGUGAAAGCGGGGGAUCGCAAGACCUCGCGCGAUUGGAGCGGCCGAUAGCAGAUUAGGUAGUUGGUGAGGUAAAGGCUCACCAAGCCGACGAUCUGUAGCUGGUCUGAGAGGACGACCAGCCACACUGGGACUGAGACACGGCCCAGACUCCUACGGGAGGCAGCAGUGGGGAAUUUUGGACAAUGGGCGCAAGCCUGAUCCAGCCAUGCCGCGUGCGGGAAGAAGGCCUUCGGGUUGUAAACCGCUUUUGUCAGGGAAGAAAAGGUUCUGGCUAAUACCUGGGACUCAUGACGGUACCUGAAGAAUAAGCACCGGCUAACUACGUGCCAGCAGCAGCCGCAG
RNAcentral lists this ribosomal RNA (493 nucleotides) under uncultured bacterium. RNAcentral describes it as "partial 16S ribosomal RNA". It matches the Rfam family "Bacterial small subunit ribosomal RNA", at positions 29 to 523 of the family's 1533-position model. The record is from RNAcentral.